UACGUAGGGGCAAGCGUUAUCCGGAUUUACUGGGUGUAAAGGGAGCGCAGACGGAACUGCAAGUCUGAUGUGAAAGCCCGGGGCUCAACCGCGGGACUGCAUCGGAUACUGUAGAUCUGGAGUGCCGGAGGGGCAAGCGGAAUUCCUGGUGUAGCGGUGAAAUGCGUAGAUAUCAGGAGGAACACCAGUGGCGAAGGCGGGUAACUGGACUGCAACUGACGCUGAGGCGCGAAAGUGUGGGGAGCAAACAGGAUUAGA
RNAcentral lists this ribosomal RNA (258 nucleotides) under uncultured prokaryote. RNAcentral describes it as "partial 16S ribosomal RNA". It matches the Rfam family "Bacterial small subunit ribosomal RNA", at positions 524 to 782 of the family's 1533-position model. The record is from RNAcentral.